Molecule: ribosomal RNA, 870 nt
Filed under: uncultured bacterium
Lineage: Bacteria
Description: bacterial SSU rRNA
Rfam family: Bacterial small subunit ribosomal RNA
Source: RNAcentral
UGCAAGUCGAACGAACUUAAUCGUUAGUUUACUAAUGAAGCGGUUAGUGGCGGACUGGUGAGUAACACGUAAGCAACCUGCCUAUUAGAGGGGAACAACAGUUAGAAAUGACUGCUAAUACCGCAUAUGCCAUAAGUAUCGCAUGAUACAAGUGGGAAAGGAGCAAUCCGCUAAUAGAUGGGCUUGCGUCUGAUUAGAUAGUUGGUGGGGUAACGGCCUACCAAGUCGACGAUCAGUAGCCGAGUUGAGAGACUCUACGGCCACAUUGGGACUGAGAUACGGCCCAGACUCCUACGGGAGGCAGCAGUCGGGAAUAUUGCGCAAUGGAGGAAACUCUGACGCAGUGACGCCGCGUGCAGGAAGAAGGUUUUCGGAUUGUAAACUGCUUUAGACAGGGAAGAAAAAGACAGUACCUGUAGAAUAAGCUCCGGCUAACUACGUGCCAGCAGCCGCGGUAAUACGUAGGGAGCAAGCGUUAUCCGGAUUUAUUGGGUGUAAAGGGUGCGUAGACGGGAAAAUAAGUUAGUUGUGAAAUCCCCAUGCUUAACAUGGGAACUGCAACUAAAACUGUUUUUCUUGAGUGCUGGAGAGGAAAGUGGAAUUCCUAGUGUAGCGGUGAAAUGCGUAGAUAUUAGGAGGAACACCAGUGGCGAAGGCGACUUUCUGGACAGUAACUGACGUUGAGGCACGAAAGUGUGGGGAGCAAACAGGAUUAGAUACCCUGGUAGUCCACACCGUAAACGAUGGAUACUAGGUGUAGGGUGUGAUAAACGCUCUGUGCCGUCGCAAACGCAGUAAGUAUCCCACCUGGGGAGUACGGCCGCAAGGUUGAAACUCAAAGGAAUUGACGGGGGCCCGCACAAGCAGUGG